This 128-nucleotide RNase P RNA is filed under the name Thiothrix lacustris. Its description in RNAcentral is "partial RNase P RNA component class A". It matches the Rfam family "Bacterial RNase P class A", at positions 1 to 126 of the family's 367-position model. From Rfam's summary of the family: Ribonuclease P (RNase P) is a ubiquitous endoribonuclease, found in archaea, bacteria and eukarya as well as chloroplasts and mitochondria. Lineage: Bacteria; Pseudomonadati; Pseudomonadota; Gammaproteobacteria; Thiotrichales; Thiotrichaceae. The record is from RNAcentral.
AGAGCUGAUCGGGCAAUCGCGGUUUCUUGCGCAAGUGAGAAAUGGAGGAAAGUCCGGGCUCCAUAGGGUAGAACGCCAGAUAACGUCUGGGCAGCGUGAGCUGACGGAAAGUGCAACAGAAAGUAAAC